UACCCCACCCCACGCCACGCACGAUCCCCUCACCGCCGCCCCUCUCCGGAUCGCCGCCACCGCCACCGCCGCUCCGGAUCGCCGCCGCCGUCCCUCCGGAUCGCUGCCCCCACCGCUGUCGUCGCCGCCGUCUCUCCGGAUAACCGGCAGCGCCGCCGCCGCCGUCUGGAUCGCUGCUGAUGUAUCUCCAGAUCGCAGCCACCGCCGCCGUCUGGAUCGCCGCCGCCAUCACACAGAAGACAGUGCAGGAGCUGCCGCCGCCGCCCGCCCCCCAUCUCCUCCCCUGAUCCAACUAAACAUCCCGUAAACUGAAAAAGAGGGUGAUUGGUUAGGAUGCUGCAGCAGCUAAUAAGAUGGGAAGACAACUCACUUUGCCCCUCCUCCAAGCACAUCAGCGACUCUUCGAUCUGCUUCUCUCCCUCGCAAGAUAUGAGAUUCUUAUAUACCAUUGUUGCAUCAUGUUGCACACAUGCAAUUCUAUUGUUUUGUGUAAGAACCAUUGACUUUUGUGGAGAAGUUCGCGUCACGAUGGAAUUCUGCUGUCAAGGUCGCCAUGUCGGCGAGCUCGUUGGCGUCAUACUGCCCCAACAAGAGCGCCAUCGGGUCGGCGGCGCUGCUGGCGGCUGCAACCAUGGAUGAUGGAAAUUGUGAGUCCUGCAAAAUCCGUGCGUGGGUUAGGAUAACAGGUUGAGCCAUCUGUUCCUCUACAGUCAAACGCUUGAUUGGGAUGUUCUAUCCAUGAUGGGAUCAGAUUCAUGAAACUCGACUUGUUGAAGAAGUUUCAGUCCAGCUUCACUCACCGCCUUUCAUUGUCAUCGAGACAACCAACAUUGCUCAGAACGCCGCAUCCCCGGCCUACUCUCUCUUCACCCGUCAAUGCUCAUGUGCUUCGACCCUCCCCGACCCCUCCCAGCAAGCAGUAGAGUCUCUCUUGUUCGAGCUCCACCGGGCCGCGGCGGCGACGUCCAUGUUCGUUGGGCGGAGCACAAUGCUGGGGUUGAAAUCCACCAUGCUGCUACUGAUGAGGCUCUCCUCCUUUGUCCACCGGUUAUCGGACAACUGCCUAUGAGACAUCCACCGUCGUACACUCAUUUGAUCGUGCUGAUGCGCCUGGCUGUGGGAUGGCUUCUGCUGGGAUGCUUCGAGAUUUCACGAAUCCAUUAUGAAGAAAUAGGGUGGCCGCCCGCUUUAUUUCAUGAAUCCAUUAUCGCCUACAGAAUAACGUCCUGGCCCUCCCAGUUUGAGUGAUUCACUUUAUUUUGCUAUAUCUCAACUGUACAUGCAUCGUUUAUGUUCGCCGGCCUGCGCCCCUGUGUCUCCUCAUGUUAAUGUGGUUGCUGGUCGCGGGACUGACAAGGAGGUCAUUGUGGAGCGGUGGUGCUGGCUGUGGCCUACCAGGAUAUCAUAAGUUCUCCCUUGUUCUUUUGUGUUUGAAUCAGAUUUAGUGGUUCUUGAUUUUACAGGCAUGCAUCGAUCUUGCUCAUGUUCUGUAUGUAGGAUACACUUAAUGUUUUAUGGGAUGUUCUGCAGACUUUUAGAACACUAAGGGCAUAUUUUGGCUUGAAUGCCGUUGGGUCGAUGAAGGUCAUGCAACAUGGCAGGUGUGCAUGUGUCCACUUGGAAGCUACUUGUUUCGUGAGUUGUUCGAGACGAAAACCCAGUCUAUAUGAUGGACUGCUCUCCUAUUUUUUUUAUGUGUGCGCCUGCUCCGUGCUCUUUUGUUCCCAGCAGGCUAUUGUGUUGAUCCAUGGGGAUUUCUUUUUACCCCUGCCAUUGGUUUUCUCUGUAAAACGCAGGUUUUGCUUACUCGUGGUUGUAUGUUGGCUUCGUGCUGGUGGGCUAUAGUUCUCCUGUCACAAAUCAUGGAGACAUUCAUCCUCGCAGAUUUCUGCUCCUGCUAUGUGAAAAGGGCAAUCCACAACAUGAAUAUACAUGUAGCAAUGGUGUGCCCUUGGAACGUCCUGCAGUAAGCCCUCUAAAAGAAUCCUUAUGAAGUGUUCCUAGAGUUUGGUGGAUAUGACCGGAGUGAUAUUUUCAUAAGGAAGUCCAAGGCACAAGGGCUAUAAAUGUUAAGGAUUGCCUGACCGCGACAACUAUUGGGUUCCGUCUCACCAUGAAGUGUCGCAAUAAGGCCAUUGAUCCAGUUGUUGGGUAUGCACAUUGUGGAAUGGUUGUAGCAACUCGCUGGACUGCGAAUCAGGCCAUUCCCUUCCUCAGCAGAGCAGUCGGGCAAUUUUUGGACUACAAAAUUAGGUAAGUAAUUGAAUAUAUUUGUAUGGUCUGAAAAGCUUUCCAUUUAAAUGUUUCACGAAACUAGACCUUUUCUUUUGUAAACAAGGACUAGAACCGUGGAAGAAGUUACUGAGUUAGCCUAAUCUAAGAUAGAACAGAUGCACUUUUGGAAAGCUUUUUUGAUUGCUAAAUCCGAUUAUCAGAGCUAAGAAGCAACUUUUCUAAACAUAUAGUUUGACAAGUUGUUACUCUUUGUGCACUGUGUGUGCUGCUUCUUUUGAACGUUCAGAGUUGAAGGUUAUUUCUGCUCUAAUGUUAUACAUUUUUAUUAGCAUGACGCAAGGUUAAUUUAUUUCUUCUUAUCUUGUGUUAUUUAUUUUUCAAAUAUUAUAAACCGCUGAUGCCCGAAUCCUGCUUUAUUCAAUUGAAUGUAAAGUUCUCUCCUUCAAUAUUCUAAUGCUUUACCAAUUUUUCAUAUGUGAGAAACCGAGAAGAAGGGCGCAUGCACAAUUUAUACCAGCAUCACAUGCCAAAUUGGUUUCUCUUUGUGUUAGUUUCCUUCUCAAAUUGGCAAGUUGUAGAGAUCAGAUUCUUUUCCCUUCAAACGAAUAUAAAACACUCUUCUUUACUUUCCGAUUCAUUCAUUUAUUUUUGACACUCUGUUCAUUUAAAAUUUUGAAGUUCAAAUGAAUAAGUAAGAGCUGCAGUUGAUCAUGUUGUCCAAAAAAGGCUUGAUCCAACCAACAGAAUGACUUGAUUAAUUGGGCUUAUAAGCUGGUUGCAUCAACUGAUAGAUGCACUAAUGUAUGUUCAGGGUUGAAAAUGUCGACAACUUUGUAUGGUUGAAGGAUAUUCCAAGAUUUCCCACUCUCGCAAGAAAACAACUUGGCUCACUUAUGAUAAGAUGCUCUGGUGUUAAGUUUCUCCUCUUUUAUGGACCAAGAAGAUGAACUAUUUUGACAACAUCAACUGCAUUUGUACUGACAGAGCAUUUGUUAGCUGACAGAGCAUUUGUUGUGAUUGUGUUGGAAGUGUCGUGUAUGGCAAAGGUAGAUCCCGUUGUAGUGCAGAGCAGAGUUAGCACCAUUCAAGUCCAUUAUUGAAUGUGUGGAUAUUACUAAAUGAUGUAUGUCUCAUUUUCAUAUUAAAGUGUGGCUUCUAUUGCAAAAAAAGCUUGCGGCAAAGCCGAGGAGAUGGAUUGCAAGGGGGGGAGAGAAGAUGUUUUCGUAGAUUAAAUUUUGUAAGAAAAGUAGUGUGUAUAUACUCUCUCUGUGAUUUAACUUUGACCACCAAACUUAAUUGAUGAUAUAUGUGUUAUGUGUCAUAAAAUUAUACCAUUGGAGUUUUUUGUAAUACGAAUUUGAUGAUAAA
Triticum dicoccoides is the source of this 3603-nucleotide long non-coding RNA. RefSeq lists it as uncharacterized. Lineage: Eukaryota; Viridiplantae; Streptophyta; Magnoliopsida; Poales; Poaceae. The transcript is spliced from 9 exons. The record is from RefSeq and is a predicted model, not a curated record.